AUAUAUUCACAUUUUAAUUUCUUUCAUUCGAUUUUGGGUUUCAAAAAUGAUGGUUUUUGAUUGAAUAUUGGAGUUUGCGAGUCCGUUCGAGUUCGCCGUCGGCCGUUGGUUCCCAUCCGUGGUUCGUGGUAGUGUUCCUGUGGCCAUCUCAGUCUUGUGGUCGAGUUCGAGUCACUUAGUUGGCUUGUAUUUGUUUCAGAAAAGAUUAACCAAGCGGAUUGAACAUCAUUCAGGCCUGUUCUUGCUCACUGGAACUUGAAAGUCGACUCAUGUUGGUUGUUUGAUUUAUUCUUCUCAGUUUGAGCAUGAAGUAGUGCUGGAAAUAUUAGUUGAGUUUUCCUGCCCGUUGAUGAGUUAGUUCACUCGCCUAGUACUCUAAAUUCGCUUGCCCUUUUGUUUAAGAUUGGCUUGAUUCGAUACAAUGUUUUUAGAUGCCUCUGUUCGAGUGCCAUAUUUGUUUGAAGCUUAGGAGUUAAGUCCGUGGUUUAGGAAUUAAUGCGAUUGAUCAACUAAACAUUUACUGCCUUUUGUUCUGUUUAUCCCAUGUGCUAACUGAUAAUUCUAUCUGAUUGCUCUUCCCCCUAUUAGAAUAUAUUAGCAUCUUUUCUCGAGGCUUGAUUAGUUUGAUCCUAUUUCCUGUUUGUAAAUUGGCGUUAUAACUGUGAAUGCGAGAAACAAUUGGUGGUUGAAUUCUUGUGUCAAAAGCUCGGAGACGACUGUGAAUAUUAGCUACUCGAUAUGAAUUCCGUAGUAAAUCCUUACAUCGGGAAAGUUUUUAAGUUUCAAUUUAUAUUUGAAGAUAAAUUGAAUGAUUGGUGAAGAAUGCAUCUGUCCAAGUCUGUUUGAUUAACUUUACUAAUCUGAAAAAUGCAUUUGUAUUAACUUUGGUCAAUAGCACAUGUGUUGGUGUUCUGCUUAGACGCUGAUUCCUUUGGAUUCUGUUAAAAUCAUUAGUGAUAAUCAAGUCUCACAUGAACUGAAUCUCUGCUGAUUACUAAGUCACAUGAUGGUCAUGGUUAAUAUAAAUUGGUUGCUCCAUGAAAAGCUGAAAUUGCAAAAUUGGUAGAAGUCAGGUAUUGAACUUGUCUGAGUUUCUCAUGUUCUUUAAUGAUGUGUGCUGGCAGACUCGGGUGUUUUUAAAUGAAGAAAUAUCUUUAAAGAUAAGGGUUAGUCCUGUGGGGGAUGGGUCGUUCCUAUGAGAUUAAGAGUACAGGAGAGGAUUAAAUGACCAUUUAGAAGCUCUCAUCAUGCUUUGAGUCCACCUUUUCUUUCAUUCUGCUUGCUUUCGUUCUCCAUUUUAGUUUUUGAUGCUUUAUCUGCAAAAUGUUUGAUUUUGGUUGGAUGCAAAACUGUUUGAAUGAAUGAUAUUGGGUCGUGGGGUUGGACAUUAA
Long non-coding RNA from Nicotiana tabacum (common tobacco), 1391 nucleotides. RefSeq lists it as uncharacterized. The record is from RefSeq and is a predicted model, not a curated record. Lineage: Eukaryota; Viridiplantae; Streptophyta; Magnoliopsida; Solanales; Solanaceae.